This 177-nucleotide unclassified non-coding RNA is filed under the name uncultured fungus. RNAcentral describes it as "sequence contains ITS1". The record is from RNAcentral. Lineage: Eukaryota; Fungi.
UUGUUUAAUUUACUUAAACUCCGACGCAAAGAUGCAGGGUUGGAAGGCCUCCGGGGGCGCUCGCCGCGAAACGGCAGGGUCGCCCCCGAAGCAACAAGUUGUGUUCACAGAGGGUGGGAGGUCGGGCCCGAGGGCCCUCACUCAGUAAUGAUCCCUCCGCAGGUUCACCUACGGAGA